GGUCGGUUAGCUCAGUUGGUUAGAGCGUCGUACUAAUACAAUGACAGUUGUAUCAAGUAAUGCGAAGGUCAUGAGUUCGACCCUCAUACUGACCA
This 95-nucleotide transfer RNA is filed under the name Camillea tinctor. Its description in RNAcentral is "tRNA-Ile". It matches the Rfam family "tRNA". Rfam says of the family: Transfer RNA (tRNA) molecules are approximately 80 nucleotides in length. Their secondary structure includes four short double-helical elements and three loops (D, anti-codon, and T loops). The record is from RNAcentral. Lineage: Eukaryota; Fungi; Ascomycota; Sordariomycetes; Xylariales; Graphostromataceae.